CGUCUAUAUACGUAUAGCAUAUCAAUAAGCGGAGGAAAAGAAACUAACAUAGGAUUCCCUUAGUAACGGCGAGUGAAGCGGGAAGAGCUCAAAUUUGAAAUCUUCAAGGUUCUACCUUGACGAAUUGUAGUUUAUAGAAGUGUUUUCUGUAGUGGAGUUUGGUAAAAGUUCUUUGGAAUAGGACAUCAUAGAGGGUGAGAAUCCCGUAUUUGGUCAUUAUCUCCUAGCGUUGUGAUACACUUUCAAAGAGUCGGAUUGUUUGGGAAUGCAGUCCAAAAUGGGUGGUAAAUUUCAUCUAAAGCUAAAUAUUGGCGAGAGACCGAUAGCGAACAAGUACCGUGAGGGAAAGAUGAAAAGAACUUUGAAAAGAGAGUUAAACAGUACGUGAAAUUGUCAAAAGGGAAGCGUUUGACACCAGUGUUGUUUUUCCGAAAAUCAAUUACGAAUGCUUUAUUUUAGUGUAGUAUUGACCUUCAUCAGGCUUGCUUCCUUUUAUCGAAUCUUUCUUAAUGCACUUUUCGGUUAACAAGUCAACAUCAAUUUCUUUUGUUGUAAAAGAGUAUGCGGAAGGUGGCUUUCUUUCGGAGAAAGUGUUUAUAGCCCUAUACUUCUACAAUCGGAGAGAUUGAGGUCUGCAGCGUAGAUCCUUCGGGGUUAGAUACACUUGUGCUAAGUUGUAGCUUUUCAUAGACAACUUGUUGACUAUGUUUAGUCAUGCGGCUUACUCGCUUAUGCUAUUUUACCUACGCUUAGGAUGUUGACUGAUAUGUAGUCGU
RNAcentral lists this ribosomal RNA (776 nucleotides) under uncultured Neocallimastigales. Its description in RNAcentral is "partial large subunit ribosomal RNA". It matches the Rfam family "Eukaryotic large subunit ribosomal RNA", at positions 26 to 643 of the family's 3401-position model. The record is from RNAcentral. Lineage: Eukaryota; Fungi; Neocallimastigomycota; Neocallimastigomycetes; Neocallimastigales.